Molecule: ribosomal RNA, 1476 nt
Filed under: Leuconostoc pseudomesenteroides
Lineage: Bacteria; Bacillati; Bacillota; Bacilli; Lactobacillales; Lactobacillaceae
Description: bacterial SSU rRNA
Rfam family: Bacterial small subunit ribosomal RNA
Source: RNAcentral
GAUGAACGCUGGCGGCGUGCCUAAUACAUGCAAGUCGAACGCACAGCGAAAGGUGCUUGCACCUUUCAAGUGAGUGGCGAACGGGUGAGUAACACGUGGACAACCUGCCUCAAGGCUGGGGAUAACAUUUGGAAACAGAUGCUAAUACCGAAUAGAACUCAGUGUCGCAUGACACAAAGUUAAAAGGCGCUUUGGCGUCACCUAGAGAUGGAUCCGCGGUGCAUUAGUUAGUUGGUGGGGUAAAGGCCUACCAAGACAAUGAUGCAUAGCCGAGUUGAGAGACUGAUCGGCCACAUUGGGACUGAGACACGGCCCAAACUCCUACGGGAGGCUGCAGUAGGGAAUCUUCCACAAUGGGCGAAAGCCUGAUGGAGCAACGCCGCGUGUGUGAUGAAGGCUUUCGGGUCGUAAAGCACUGUUGUAUGGGAAGAACAGCUAGAAUAGGGAAUGAUUUUAGUUUGACGGUACCAUACCAGAAAGGGACGGCUAAAUACGUGCCAGCAGCCGCGGUAAUACGUAUGUCCCGAGCGUUAUCCGGAUUUAUUGGGCGUAAAGCGAGCGCAGACGGUUGAUUAAGUCUGAUGUGAAAGCCCGGAGCUCAACUCCGGAAUGGCAUUGGAAACUGGUUAACUUGAGUGCAGUAGAGGUAAGUGGAACUCCAUGUGUAGCGGUGGAAUGCGUAGAUAUAUGGAAGAACACCAGUGGCGAAGGCGGCUUACUGGACUGUAACUGACGUUGAGGCUCGAAAGUGUGGGUAGCAAACAGGAUUAGAUACCCUGGUAGUCCACACCGUAAACGAUGAACACUAGGUGUUAGGAGGUUUCCGCCUCUUAGUGCCGAAGCUAACGCAUUAAGUGUUCCGCCUGGGGAGUACGACCGCAAGGUUGAAACUCAAAGGAAUUGACGGGGACCCGCACAAGCGGUGGAGCAUGUGGUUUAAUUCGAAGCAACGCGAAGAACCUUACCAGGUCUUGACAUCCUUUGAAGCUUUUAGAGAUAGAAGUGUUCUCUUCGGAGACAAAGUGACAGGUGGUGCAUGGUCGUCGUCAGCUCGUGUCGUGAGAUGUUGGGUUAAGUCCCGCAACGAGCGCAACCCUUAUUGUUAGUUGCCAGCAUUCAGAUGGGCACUCUAGCGAGACUGCCGGUGACAAACCGGAGGAAGGCGGGGACGACGUCAGAUCAUCAUGCCCCUUAUGACCUGGGCUACACGCGUGCUACAAUGGCGUAUACAACGAGUUGCCAACCCGCGAGGGUGAGCUAAUCUCUUAAAGUACGUCUCAGUUCGGAUUGUAGUCUGCAACUCGACUACAUGAAGUCGGAAUCGCUAGUAAUCGCGGAUCAGCACGCCGCGGUGAAUACGUUCCCGGGUCUUGUACACACCGCCCGUCACACCAUGGGAGUUCGUAAUGCCCAAAGCCGGUGGCCUAACCUUUUAGGAAGGAGCCGUCUAAGGCAGGACAGAUGACUGGGGUGAAG